UAAGAUCCUGUGCAAUCAUCCCCAAACUGAGCAGGUCAAGAAAGUCCUAACAGAGCUCCAGGCCAGCAUCAACAAGAUCUUGCUGGACGUGAUUGGUUCUCAAUAUCAGA
Galeopterus variegatus (Sunda flying lemur) is the source of this 110-nucleotide long non-coding RNA. RefSeq lists it as uncharacterized. The record is from RefSeq and is a predicted model, not a curated record. Lineage: Eukaryota; Metazoa; Chordata; Mammalia; Dermoptera; Cynocephalidae. The transcript is spliced from 3 exons.